CGUCCAAGAACCACGACAGCUUCUGUGUCUCAUCUGCAGCAGUCAUUGAAGUGCCUUUUGGGAUCGGCGUACGAGCACUCACACAGCCAGCUUGACACGCAACGUGCAGUAGCAGUGUCGCUUCAUGGGCCUCAGUCUCGUUAUUUUACUCAUAAAUCAGCAGACGCACUUACCUGCUGCAGCACUGAAAGUAAACUCAUUUGAAACUUUGUCCUGACGGAAUUUUUCAGACAGAGUUCACUGAAACUUGUUUGCAACAGUCUCGCAACGUGCUUAGUUACAGCCCCACAAGUGAACCCACUGGUGCCUGCAUCGCAUCUUGCAGCACGGAAUUUUUUUUGCUGUGUGCUUUCUGUUCAGCCAACUGCAUGCGUGAAGUACAGUCAUUGCCACUCCUGUAAAGUUGCACUCCUUCAUGGAUGCCGACUACCGAAGAUUCACAGUUAGCCUUAGUAAACUGGAUGUUAAAUUAUGCUACAAAAAAGGAGGGGUCAUAUUUUUGAUCACCUUCUUCAGUGAUAAUAUGCAUGUGUGGGAACAACUGCAGCAGAAUAUGAGGCAUGCUUCCUAAAAGCUCUCCUCUAUUGUGAUGAUGAAUCAAUGAACAGCAACGUUACUCACUCUCUCCCAUCAUCAAAAGUGGAGGAGAGCAAGGAUUCACCCUACACCCACUUUUGAUGUUGGGCGAGAGUGAGUAACGCUGCCUAGGGAAGGCUGUCGCUGCCCCGAUGAAGUCCGCUUGCCGAAACAUCAGCUCCAGUGGCACUUCCUUUCUAGGGAUUUUUCAUACCUUCAAGCCUCCAUCUUUUACUGGAAUUCUGUCGGCCAUGGUUCUCAAGUGCAUUGUACUGUUGAUGCCUCACACUUGCCCUUAGUGAAAAGGUUCUGCGUGAAAGUAUAUUGAAGUGAACACACAAUCUGUUGUGAUCCCAUCGGGAGAUGGUCAGUCAGUCUUUCAACCACACGAACUUCAAAACAACCUACAGCUUGUUCAGGCUGCAUUCUUGAAGAAACCCCCCAGUUCAACGCUGCCGCAGUACUAAAGACUGAGGUUGCAUUCGGUACUAUGUUCAUUGCACGGCAAAAAUGUGCUUUUGUCUUCCACUUAAAUGCGAGUCGGGUGUAAUUGGAAGUCACUCUAUUAUAGCCAGUGCCCAACUGUUUGUUCUAUGAAGCAGCAAAUACAGCCAAAAUCACUUACAGCAGAUGAAAUAGUAUCUACUUCCGUCACUUAUGAUGUAAGUAUAGUUUAUUUUUAUAUCUGGUUUUGCCAUGGUGCAACUGAACUCAUCCUCCUACAUUGAUGGAACAUUCAUUCAUUAGUGGGUUCAACUGGAGUAUCUCAUAAAUUAGCGGAAAAAAAGGAAUCCUUGUUCAUGUUCGUGUGAUAACUGACCCUGUUUCUAUGACAGACAGCAUACAUCCAUGUUUCUGUUGUCACAGCUCUGUUCGUAUUUGCAAUAGGUUAGUUAAAACAAAUACGGGGGCUGGUUUUGCUUGUCUCAGAUUUUUCCAAUGUGUACGUCCUUCACGUGGCUUCUGCCAACAGACACGUUGAUGUACUAUCGCUUUGCUUCCCUCGUACGUCUCAGUUCAGUGAGUUCAUUGACCUUGUAGUUGCAAGAUUUAUUGCAAGGACUACAAUUUUGACCACAGGUUGCUGUGUUCUGUUGAUAUUCCAGAAAAAAGUACUAACAAUAUAAUUUCCUCUGUGUCUACUACUAGCGCUGUUACUGAAUAUGUUCUGUUUUUCAAUAGUGUCCUUUUACAAUGCAACUAAGAACGUCCUUCAGAAAGCAGUAGCCAUCUCAUGGCUUUAUCUUUCCUGAUUUGUUUUGUGCUGAAGCAAGUAGCUGGCACCUGAACUGAAGGCUUUCUUUAUUGCUGAUGAGCAGCCAAAUGUUGUGGCACGAGUUUUGGGCAAGUCGAAAUGAACAUGGCAGGCAAAAUCA
Molecule: long non-coding RNA, 1952 nt
Organism: Rhipicephalus sanguineus (brown dog tick)
Lineage: Eukaryota; Metazoa; Arthropoda; Arachnida; Ixodida; Ixodidae
Exons: 2
Source: RefSeq, a predicted model, not a curated record